AGGUGGAUGUUGUACCAAUUUCUGACUUAUAGACUGUGAGUUACAUAUUGUGUUGUGCUGUCACAUAUAAAGAAAGAACAUAAUAUAAGUCAUGAUAUAUCAAAAUCGUUGCAAACAAAUGUUUGCUAUAAAAGUGUUAUACAUUAUUGAAUGAUAAUAGUAAGAACCAGUUUGUUUUCUGAAAGAAGACAAAAAAGAGGGUCAAAAACCUAGGAUGGAGUGCCUAGGUAUGAAAGAAGUAUACUGUCUCAGAGCUAAUCUGCAAAGUAUGGGGAAGUUUGGUUUUUGUUUGCUUAUUUUAUUUUCUAUGCUUAUAGGGAACACACAUUAAGUAAAGCACUUCGUGAUAAUUGUAUAUCCACUGACAAAAUAGAACAGAGACUUCUAUGACCAUUCAUGACAACAACAACAAAAAAAACCCCACAAUCUUAGAAAAAAAUAAAUUGUAAUAGUCGCUGAGGAAAGGUA
RNAcentral lists this long non-coding RNA (468 nucleotides) under Bos taurus (domestic cattle). RNAcentral's name for it is "long non-coding RNA NONBTAT026431". Lineage: Eukaryota; Metazoa; Chordata; Mammalia; Artiodactyla; Bovidae. The record is from RNAcentral.